This 107-nucleotide small nucleolar RNA is filed under the name Oryza punctata. Its description in RNAcentral is "Plant small nucleolar RNA R71". It matches the Rfam family "Plant small nucleolar RNA R71". Rfam says of the family: R71 is a member of the C/D box family of snoRNAs containing the C (UGAUGA) and D (CUGA) box motifs. Lineage: Eukaryota; Viridiplantae; Streptophyta; Magnoliopsida; Poales; Poaceae. The record is from Rfam by way of RNAcentral.
AUCCCAUGAUGAGGAUAGGCGGCGGCAUAUUCCUGUAGCCUAUCCCGAGCUUCUGGAAUUAUCUCAUCUCUCAUCUGUGUGAAGCUGGAUAUCCUUCCAUGAAGGGC